This 433-nucleotide ribosomal RNA is filed under the name uncultured bacterium. RNAcentral describes it as "partial 16S ribosomal RNA". It matches the Rfam family "Bacterial small subunit ribosomal RNA", at positions 29 to 507 of the family's 1533-position model. The record is from RNAcentral.
AACGAACGCUGGCGGCAGGCCUAACACAUGCCAGUCGAGCGGACCCUUCGGGGUUAGCGGCGGACGGGUGAGUAACGCGUGGGAACGUGCCCUUUGCUUCGGAAUAGCCCUGGGAAACUGGGAGUAAUACCGGAUACGCCCUUUUGGGGAAAGAUUUAUCGGCGAAGGAUCGGCCCGCGUUGGAUUAGGUAGUUGGUGGGGUAAUGGCCUACCAAGCCGACGAUCCAUAGCUGGUUUGAGAGGAUGAUCAGCCACACUGGGACUGAGACACGGCCCAGACUCCUACGGGAGGCAGCAGUGGGGAAUCUUAGACAAUGGGGGAAACCCUGAUCGAGCCAUGCCGCGUGAGCGAUGAAGGCCUUAGGGUUGUAAAGCUCUUUCACCGGGGAAGAUAAUGACGGUACCCGGAGAAGAAGCCCCGGCUAACUCCGUG